Long non-coding RNA from Sinocyclocheilus anshuiensis, 147 nucleotides. RefSeq lists it as uncharacterized. Lineage: Eukaryota; Metazoa; Chordata; Actinopteri; Cypriniformes; Cyprinidae. The transcript has 3 exons. The record is from RefSeq and is a predicted model, not a curated record.
ACGGAGACUCAUGUACCUACCUGCGGGUGUCGCUGUUGGACAGUGUUAUUCCUGCUUCCUGUUUGCAGUGCUGGUUUGUGAUCGUAGCUCCGUGUAGCUUUUUUUUUCUGUAAAAUCUCUAUCACUCUCCGUUGUUUAAAGUGAUAA